CUACGGGCGGCUCCAGUGGGGAAUAUUGCACAAUGGGCGCAAGCCUGAUGCAGCCAUGCCGCGUGUAUGAAGAAGGCCUUCGGGUUGUAAAGUACUUUCAGCGGGGAGGAAGGGAGUAAAGUUAAUACCUUUGCUCAUUGACGUUACCCGCAGAAGAAGCACCGGCUAACUCCGUGCCAGCAGCCGCGGUAAUACGGGAGGGUGCAAGCGUUAAUCGGAAUUACUGGGCGUAAAGCGCACGCAGGCGGUUUGUUAAGUCAGAUGUGAAAUCCCCGGGCUCAACCUGGGAACUGCAUCUGAUACUGGCAAGCUUGAGUCUCGUAGAGGGGGGUAGAAUUCCGGGUGUAGCGGUGAAAGGCGUAGAGAUCUGGAGGAAUACCGGUGGCGAAGGCGGCCCCCUGGACGAAGACUGACGCUCAGGUGCGAAAGCGUGGGGAGCAAACAGGAUUAGAUACCCAGUAGUC
This 464-nucleotide ribosomal RNA is filed under the name uncultured bacterium. Its description in RNAcentral is "partial 16S ribosomal RNA". It matches the Rfam family "Bacterial small subunit ribosomal RNA", at positions 339 to 795 of the family's 1533-position model. The record is from RNAcentral.